CCCACUCACUUGAUAAUAAUGGAUUUAACUUUAUUUGUUAAUUUAAUUUUUUUAAUAGUGUCAUGAAGGAACCAACUUCGGGCGUACUACUGGUGGCCCGUUUAUUGCUACAAGCUAUGACUAUCAUGCUUCUCCUAAUGAAUUAACGCUAUUUAAAUAUCAACCAUUUACGUUUUCAUGAGUGUUUGUUGUUCUUAGCUAGCAUAUGUCUUUACUUUUGAGUUUCAAAGUGCUGUGAUAAAUUAAGCGAAUAGCCAGCCAUCAACUAACUACUACUUUCUUGGACAGUUAAUGAUGUUGUUGGAGAUGUGUAUUGUUUCAGUUAUGAUGAUUAAAUAAUGCAAUAUCAAAUCUAAUAAUUUUGAUAUGGUGUAAAAAGUUGAUAAAAAGGUUAGGGUUUAUGUUUUAGCUUUUCUUCUUCUUGGCUGUAGUCUCGAAGGGCCUAAGUUAUUGUUCUGCCUCAUCUCUCUUCUAAAUAUGUAUUUAAGUGCUGAAAACUAUUUGCCGCAUGUAAGCUUUUUGGGUAUAUGUAUAAGCCUCUCAAUUUUAAUAGCUAUAUGUAUAAUCUAGAAGAUGUUCUCAUAACUUGAUUACGUGUAACUAUAGGUGAGCUACUUCCGUACCAGCUUGAAGGAUUGAAUUUCUUACGUUUCUCAUGGUCUAAAGUCUAAACAAACACAUGUGAUACUUGCAGACGAAAUGGGUCUUGGGAAACGAUACAAAGUAUUGCUUUUUUGGCAUCGUUGUCUAAAGAGAAUGUCUCCCCUCAUUUAGUAGCACCGCUUUCUACAUUAAGGAAUUGGGAACAUUAAUUUGCUAUAUGGGCUGCUAAUAUGAAUGUUUCGCAUCUUCUCCACACGAAGAAGAAACAACCUUCACUUUCAGACGUUAUUGCGGUAAUUAUAUUCCAGUUUUCUCUUCUUACUUCAUAUUGCAGUUUUAUUCGCUGUUAAAAAGUUGUGUUUUUCAAGCAAACAACAAAGAAAUAGGAUGUUUUGUUUACGGUGCUACAGUUUUGAAGAAUAUAACAACAGCUAUUUGAAGGUGAUGUGUGUUUUAUAUCCGUAUUUUUUAUUUUUAUUUUUUUGCCUAUGAAUAAAAAA
Long non-coding RNA from Helianthus annuus (common sunflower), 1103 nucleotides. RefSeq lists it as uncharacterized. The transcript has 3 exons. The record is from RefSeq and is a predicted model, not a curated record. NCBI's taxonomy places the organism in Eukaryota, Viridiplantae, Streptophyta, Magnoliopsida, Asterales, Asteraceae.